UACGGGGGGAGCAAGCGUUGUUCGGAUUUACUGGGCGUAAAGGGCGCGUAGGCGGUCAGCACAAGUCAGUUGUGAAAUCUCCGGGCUUAACCCGGAACGGUCAGCCGAUACUGCGGGGCUAGAGUGCAGAAGGGGCAACUGGAAUUCUCGGUGUAGCGGUGAAAUGCGUAGAUAUCGAGAGGAACACCUGCGGCGAAGGCGGGUUGCUGGGCUGACACUGACGCUGAUGCGCGAAAGCUAGGGGAGCGAACGGG
This 254-nucleotide ribosomal RNA is filed under the name uncultured bacterium. RNAcentral's name for it is "partial 16S ribosomal RNA". It matches the Rfam family "Bacterial small subunit ribosomal RNA", at positions 524 to 776 of the family's 1533-position model. The record is from RNAcentral.